AGGGCGUACGGCGGAUGCCUAGGCUUUGAGAGGCGAUGAAGGACGUGAUAAGCUGCGAUAAGCUUCGGGGAGUGGCACAUACACAUUAUAUCCGAAGAUUUCCGAAUGGGGCAACCCGUCAGGUUGAAGGCCUGUCACUCUAAUUUAUUAGAGAGCGAACGUGGGGAACUGAAACAUCUAAGUACCCAUAGGAAAAGAAAUCAAUUGAGAUUCCGUAAGUAGUGGCGAGCGAACGCGGAUUAGCCCUAAAGACUUUAUAUUUUUAGUAGAAUAACCUGGAAAGGUUAACCGUAGAGGGUGAUAGUCCCGUAAGCGAAAUUUUUAUAUAGUUGAUAACGAGUAAGGCGGAACACGAGAAAUUCUGUCCGAAUAUGGGAGGACCAUCUUCCAAGGCUAAAUACUCCUCAAAGACCGAUAGUGAACUAGUACUGUGAAGGAAAGGUGAAAAGCAUUUCGAAUAGAAAGUUGAAAUAGAACCUGAAACCGUACGCCUACAAGCGGUCGGAGCACGUAAGUGUGACGGCGUGCCUUUUGCAUAAUGAGCCUACGAGUUAAUGUUGCUGGCAAGGUUAAGCACUUCAGGUGCGGAGCCGUAGCGAAAGCGAGUCUGAAUAGGGCGCUAUAGUCAGUAGUAUUAGACGCGAAACCUUGUGAUCUACCCAUGGGCAGGUUGAAGCUUUGGUAACACAAAGUGGAGGACCGAACCGGUUGACGUUGAAAAGUCUUCGGAUGACCUGUGGGUAGGGGUGAAAGGCCAAUCAAACUGGGAAAUAGCUCGUACUCCCCGAAAUGCAUUUAGGUGCAGCGUUUAGUGAAGUAUAUUAGAGGUAGAGCUACUGAUUGGAUGCGGGGGCUUCACCGCCUACCAAUUCCUGACAAACUCCGAAUGCUAAUAUAUGUUUCUAGGCAGUGAGGGCAUGGGUGCUAAGGUCCAUGUCCGAGAGGGAAAGAACCCAGACCAUCAGCUAAGGUCCCCAAAUAUAUGCUAAGUUGAAAAAACGCGGUUGGAUUGCAUAGACAGCUAGGAUGUUAGCUUGGAAGCAGCUAUUCAUUUAACGAGUGCGUAACAGCUCACUAGUCGAGCGAUCCGGCAUGGAUAAUAAUCGGGCAUAAGCAUAUUACCGAAGCUAUGGAUUACAUCUUAUGAUGUACUGGUAGGGGAGCAUUCUAGCGGCGCAGAAGUCGUACCGGCAAGGUAUGGUGGAGCUUCUAGAAAAGAAAAUGUAGGCAUGAGUAACGAUAAAAUAAGUGAGAAACUUAUUCGCCGUAAGACUAAGGAUUCCUCAGCUAUGCUAAUCAGCUGAGGGUUAGUCGGGACCUAACACGAACCCUAACGGGGUAGUGGAUGGCAAACGGGUUAAUAUUCCCGUACCUGCACUCAAUAAAAGUGACGAAUGAUUGUAGGAGGUGCGUACUGACGGAAUAGUACGUUGAACCUACGUAAAGUAGGGAUAGUACACGAAGACUUCGGUUAGAGUGAUAAUCCUCUGAAAAUUGUUCCAAGAAAUAGCGAGAUGUGCAGCCCGUACCGUAAACCGACACAGGUGGUCGAGGAGAGUAUCCUAAGGCGCUCGAGCGAUUCAUGGUUAAGGAAUUAGGCAAAAUAGACCUGUAACUUCGGGAGAAAGGUCGCUGACAGCAAUGUCAGCCUCAGUAAAAAGGCCCAGGCGACUGUUUAUCAAAAACACAGGACUCUGCAAAAUAGAAAUAUGACGUAUAGGGUCUGACACCUGCCCGGUGCUGGAAGGUUAAGGAAGGGGGUUAGAGGUAACUCGAAGCUCUUAACUGAAGCCCCAGUAAACGGCGGCCGUAACUAUAACGGUCCUAAGGUAGCGAAAUUCCUUGUCGGGUAAGUUCCGACCUGCACGAAUGGUGUAACGAUCUGGGCACUGUCUCAACCAUGAUCUCGGUGAAAUUGUAGUAUCGGUGAAGAUGCCGGUUAAUCGCAACGGGACGAAAAGACCCUGUGAACCUUUACUAUAGCUUUGUAUUGACUUCGGGUAAAUAAUGUGUAGGAUAGGUGGGAGACUAUGAAGCAGUAUCGCUAGGUAUUGUGGAGUCAUUGUUGAAAUACCACCCUUUAUUUACUUGGAGCCUAACUUCUUUAUAGAAGGACAGUGCAUGGUGGGUAGUUUGACUGGGGUGGUCGCCUCCAAAAGAGUAACGGAGGCUUUCA
RNAcentral lists this ribosomal RNA (2176 nucleotides) under metagenome. Its description in RNAcentral is "bacterial LSU rRNA". It matches the Rfam family "Bacterial large subunit ribosomal RNA", at positions 14 to 2312 of the family's 2925-position model. The record is from RNAcentral.